CCGCCUUUUCCUGUAGUCCACUAUCAGCUCCUUUGUCUUGCUCACAUUGAGGGAGAGGUUGUUGUUCUGGCACCACACUGCCAGGUCUCUGACCUCCUCCCUAUAGGCUGUCUCAUCGUUGUCAGUAAUCAGGCCUACCACUGUUGUGUCGUCAGAAAAUGUAAUGAUUGGGGUUGGAGUCAUGUUUGGCCACGCAGUCGUGGGUGAACAGGGAGUACAGGAGGGGACUAAGCACACACCCCUGAGAGGCCCCAGUGUUGAGGAUCAGCGUAGCAGAUGUGUUGUUGCUUACCCUUACCACCUGGGGGCGGCCCGUCAGGAAGUCCAGUAUCCAGUUGCAGAGGGAGGUGUUUAGUCCCAGGGUCCUUAGCUUAGUGAUGAGCUUUGUGGGCACCAUGGUGUUGAACACUGAGCUGUAGUCAAUGAACAGCAUUCUCACAUAGGCAUUCCUUUUGUCCAGGUGGAAAAGGCCAGUGUGGAGUGCGAUUGCGUCAUCUGUGGAUCUGUUGAGGCGAUAUGCGAAUUGGAUUGGGUCUAGGUUAUCCGGAAGGAUGCUGUUGAUGUGAGCCAUAAAAAGCACUUCAUGGCUACUGACGUGAGUGCUACGGGGCGGUAAUCAUUUAGGCAGGUUACCAUCGCUUCCUUGGGCACAGCGACUAUGGUGGUCUGCUUGAAACAAGGAAGAGGUUGAAAAUGUCAAUGAAGACACUUGCCAGUUGGUCCGGACAUGCUUUGAGUACACGUCCUGGUAAUCCAUCUGGUCCCGCUGCUUUGUGAAUGUUGACCUGUUUAAAGGUCUCACAUCGGCUACCGAGAGCGUUAUCACACAGUCAUCCUGAACAGCUGGUGCUUCAGUGUUGCUUGCCCGAAAGCGAGCAUAAAAGGCAGGCUGCAUAUGGUGAGUUGUAGAAGCUGAGCUGGGGCCUGGUAUGGCUGGGCCAGGGGCUGGUAGGGCUGAGCUGGGGCCUGGUAUGGCUGGGCCAGGGGCUGGUAGGGCUGAGCUGGUGCCUGGUAUGGCUGGGCGGGAGGCUGGUAGGGCUGAGCUGGGGCCUGGUAUGGCUGGGCCAGGGGCUGGUAGGGCUGAGCUGGGCCUGGUGUGGAUGGGACAGGGGCUGGUAUGGCUAGGCCAGGGGCUGGUAGGGCUGAGCUGGGGCAAGUGUGACUUGAAGGUCCAAUGCAGCCAUUUUAUCUCAAUAUCAAAUCAUUACUCGGUAACAGUUAACUACCUUACUGUGAUUCUUUUCUAUUAAAAUGUUGAAAAAGAAACAACAAUAGAUUCUUAGCAAAUAGCAAUUUCUCAAGCACUAAUUUUGCAAGCACGGUCUGAGAGUGGUCUGAGUGGGGAGGAGAAAAUGGAAAAUGACCUGCUAUUGGCGGAGAGCCUUGUAACUCUCUUUCUAAUUGGUCUAUUAACUGGUCCUGUAUGGCUCAGUUAGCGCGAGCACCAUGCUCUACCAUCAGGGUAGUGGGUUCAAUUCCCGGAGUCUUCCAUACAUAAAAUGUAUGCACACAUGAAUGUAAGUUGCUUUGAUAAAAGACUCUGCUAACUGACGUAUAAAAUAUAUAACUAAUUUAAUACCUAGUGAUGUCACCAGGCAGAUGACAAACAGGCUGAAAUUUCAG
RNAcentral lists this long non-coding RNA (1623 nucleotides) under Salmo salar (Atlantic salmon). Its description in RNAcentral is "lncRNA (ENSSSAG00000114283.1)". Lineage: Eukaryota; Metazoa; Chordata; Actinopteri; Salmoniformes; Salmonidae. The record is from RNAcentral.